Molecule: unclassified non-coding RNA, 262 nt
Organism: Cricetulus griseus (Chinese hamster)
Lineage: Eukaryota; Metazoa; Chordata; Mammalia; Rodentia; Cricetidae
Gene: 7SK
Rfam family: 7SK RNA
About the family: 7SK was discovered as an abundant small nuclear RNA in the mid-70s but a possible function has only recently been suggested. Two independent studies have found that 7SK RNA binds the CDK9/cyclin T complex (known as elongation factor P-TEFb). P-TEFb activates transcription by phosphorylating the C-terminal domain of RNA polymerase II.
Source: Ensembl
GGAAACCCAGGGAGAAACCUCUAUCACACCAUUGGUUGCUAGGGCUAAAUCAGCUAAUCUGGCUGGCUAACUGGAUGUCCCCUUUCAUCUAAUGGGACUCUGCUUCAUCUAAGACGAUGCCCUUCUAGGAAUAUGGGAGGAUCAGUCUUCAAUAAAAGAUAUUUAACUAGCUACACUACCCUGCUAGAACCUCCAAACAAGCUUUUAGAUAAGAACAAUUACAACAAAGGCAGAACAAAUAGAAAACAAACUUACUGAAUUU